UACGUAGGGGGCAAGCGUUGUCCGGAUUUACUGGGCGUAAAGGGCGCGUAGGCGGCCUCCUAAGUCAGACGUGAAAUCCCUCGGCUCAACCGGGGAACUGCGUCUGAUACUGGGAGGCUUGAAUCCGGGAGAGGGAUGUGGAAUUCCAGGUGUAGCGGUGAAAUGCGUAGAUAUCUGGAGGAACACCGGUGGCGAAGGCGGCAUCCUGGACCGGUAUUGACGCUGAUGCGCGAAAGCCAGGGGAGCAAACGGG
Molecule: ribosomal RNA, 253 nt
Filed under: uncultured bacterium
Lineage: Bacteria
Description: partial 16S ribosomal RNA
Rfam family: Bacterial small subunit ribosomal RNA
Source: RNAcentral